This 440-nucleotide ribosomal RNA is filed under the name uncultured bacterium. RNAcentral's name for it is "partial 16S ribosomal RNA". It matches the Rfam family "Bacterial small subunit ribosomal RNA", at positions 338 to 795 of the family's 1533-position model. The record is from RNAcentral.
CCUACGUGUUGCAGCAGUGGGGGAUAUUGCACAAUGGGGGAAACCCUGAUGCAGCGACGCCGCGUGUGGGAAGACGGUCCUCUGGAUUGUAAACCACUGUCCCCAGGGACGAAGAUGACGGUACCUGGGGAGGAAGCUCCGGCUAACUACGUGCGAGCAGCCGCGGUCAUACGUAGGGAGCGAGCGGUGUCCGGAAUUACUGGGUGUAAAGGGAGCGUAGGCGGGGAUGCAAGGUGGGUGUAAAAACUACCGGCUCAACUGGUAGUCGAACUCAAAACUGCAGCUCUUGAGUGAAGUAGAGGCAGGCGGAAUGCCUAGUGUAGCGGUGAAAUGCGUAGAUAUUAGGAGGAACACCAGUGGCGAAGGCGGCCUGCUGGGCUUUUACUGACGCUGAGGCUCGAAAGUGUGGGGAGCAAACAGGAUUAGAUACCCUUGUAGUC